This 472-nucleotide ribosomal RNA is filed under the name uncultured bacterium. Its description in RNAcentral is "bacterial SSU rRNA". It matches the Rfam family "Bacterial small subunit ribosomal RNA", at positions 43 to 524 of the family's 1533-position model. The record is from RNAcentral.
CAGGCCUAACCAUGCAAGUCUAGGAGAACAGAAAUCUUCGGAUUUCUUAGUAAACUGGCAACGGGUGAGUAACGCGUAAACAAUUUACCCUCAAGAGGGGAAUAACAUUCGAAAGAAAUGCUAAUACCGCAUGAUGUCUUACUUACGCAUGUAAGUUGAUUAAAGAUUACGCUUGAGGAGAAGUUUGCGUCCUAUUAGUUUGUUGGAGGGUAACGGCCUACCAAGACAAUGAUGGGUAGCUGGUCUGAGAGGAUGUCAGCCACACUGGCACUGAGACACGGGCCUGACUCCUACGGGAGGCAGCGUGAGGAAUAUUGGGCAAUGGGUGAAAGCCUGACCCAGCAACACCAUGUGGUGAUGAAGCUCUAAGGAGUGUAAAACCCUGUUAGGAGGGAAGAAUAGCUGUUUUUAACAGAUAUGACGGUACCUCCAGAGAAAGCUCCGGCUAAUUCGUGCCAGCAGCCGCGGUAAU